Molecule: transfer RNA, 77 nt
Filed under: Candidatus Uhrbacteria bacterium
Lineage: Bacteria; Candidatus Uhriibacteriota
Description: tRNA-His
Rfam family: tRNA
About the family: Transfer RNA (tRNA) molecules are approximately 80 nucleotides in length. Their secondary structure includes four short double-helical elements and three loops (D, anti-codon, and T loops).
Source: RNAcentral
GUCAUCGUAGUUCAAUUGGCUAGAACGCCUCUCUGUGGCAGAGGAAGUUGCGGGUUCGAGUCCCGUCGAUGACCCCA